This 1321-nucleotide ribosomal RNA is filed under the name uncultured bacterium. RNAcentral's name for it is "partial 16S ribosomal RNA". It matches the Rfam family "Bacterial small subunit ribosomal RNA", at positions 41 to 1378 of the family's 1533-position model. The record is from RNAcentral.
GGCGUGCUUAACACAUGCAAGUCGAACGGACUUUACAUGAAGCCUAGCGAUUGUAAAGUUAGUGGCGGACGGGUGAGUAACGCGUGAAUAACCUGCCUUAUACUUGGGGACAACAGUUGGAAACGACUGCUAAUACCGCAUAAGCGCACUAAAGCUGCAUGGCUCAGUGUGAAAAACUCCGGUGGUAUAAGAUGGAUUCGCGUCUGAUUAGCUAGUUGGUGGGGUAACGGCUCACCAAGGCGACGAUCAGUAGCCGGCCUGAGAGGGUGAACGGCCACAUUGGGACUGAGACACGGCCCAAACUCCUACGGGAGGCAGCAGUGGGGAAUAUUGCACAAUGGGGGAAACCCUGAUGCAGCGACGCCGCGUGAGUGAAGAAGUAUUUCGGUAUGUAAAGCUCUAUCAGCAGGGAAGAAAAUGACGGUACCUGACUAAGAAGCCCCGGCUAACUACGUGCCAGCAGCCGCGGUAAUACGUAGGGGGCAAGCGUUAUCCGGAUUUACUGGGUGUAAAGGGAGCGUAGACGGUUUUGCAAGUCUGAUGUGAAAGCCCGGGGCUCAACUCCGGAAUUGCAUUGGAAACUGUAGAACUAGAGUGCAGGAGAGGUAAGCGGAAUUCCUAGUGUAGCGGUGAAAUGCGUAGAUAUUAGGAGGAACACCAGUGGCGAAGGCGGCUUACUGGACUGGUACUGACACUGAGGCACGAAAGCGUGGGGAUCAAACAGGAUUAGAUACCCUGGUAGUCCACGCUGUAAACGAUGAUGACUAACCGUCGGCGAUACACAGUCGGUGGCCAAGCGAAAGCGAUAAGUCAUCCACCUGGGGAGUACGACCGCAAGGUUGAAACUCAAAGGAAUUGACGGGGGCCCGCACAAGCGGAGGAACAUGUGGUUUAAUUCGAUGAUACGCGAGGAACCUUACCCGGGCUCGAACGGCAGAUGCAUUGAGUAGAGAUAUUCAAGUCUUCGGACAUCUGUCGAGGUGCUGCAUGGUUGUCGUCAGCUCGUGCUGUGAAGUGUCGGCUUAAGUGCCAUAACGAGCGCAACCCUUGCCGUUAGUUGCCAUCAGGUUAAGCUGGGGACUCUAGCGGGACUGCCACCGCAAGGUGUGAGGAAGGGGGGGUUGACGUCAAAUCAGCACGGCCCUUACGUCCGGGGCGACACACGUGUUACAAUGGCGAGUACAGAGGGAAGCUACCUGGCGACAGGAUGCAGAUCUCGAAAGCUCGUCCCAGUUCGGAUUGGAGUCUGCAACCCGACUCCAUGAAGUUGGAUUCGCUAGUAAUCGCGCAUCAGCCAUGGCGCGGUGAAUACGUUCCCGGG